UGGGAGGGGAGAGGGAUGAGACUCUGAGCUGCCUUCCCAUGAGCCCAGUGUGGACCAGGGGUAGGUGGCAGGACAGCCAUGCAGCCCUUUCUAAAGCAUGCUGGCAGAGGCCUUACUAAACAACCCAAGGAGCAGGCAAACAGAUCAACUGAAUCGCAAAAAGGCCGCUCAGCAGUGCCUGAGCUGCCACCAAAUGUGGUCUUCUCGCAAAACACAUGGAGGGAAAUGUGCAAUCCCCUUUCCAAACUUCAGAAGAUUAAAAGGGUAAACACCUCCGAAGUCAACAAAUGAUGCCAUCAGGGCAGGAGAGCCAGGGGGAAACAGGGGAGAAGCGAAAGUGGGGACAAGAGCUAGGAAUUCUGGAAAGAACAGUGCUUGCCAUCAUAGAGAGGCUGCAUAGUGGGUGGUGAAAAGAAAACAAAAAUAUUAAAACCAGCGAGAAGGGCUGUGGGGGAAAAUGAGAAAAUAAAUGAAAGUGGAAGAGGAUUUAAUGAGUUCUGGGAAGAA
This 507-nucleotide long non-coding RNA is filed under the name Homo sapiens (human). RNAcentral describes it as "HSALNT0357526". The record is from RNAcentral. Lineage: Eukaryota; Metazoa; Chordata; Mammalia; Primates; Hominidae.